Molecule: long non-coding RNA, 1633 nt
Organism: Gallus gallus (chicken)
Lineage: Eukaryota; Metazoa; Chordata; Aves; Galliformes; Phasianidae
Source: Ensembl
AGCCAUUUUUUUUAAUGGAAAAACCUUGGAUAGUGAUUUCCUUAAAAAAUUAGGACUAUGUGUUUAGAAGACAGAGAAUUAACAGAUAUAGAACAAAAUAUCUGUAACUCUGAUGAGUAGAAAAUCAGAGAAGUAGUCCUAAAACCACAUAAGCAGACAAUGAAUUGCAAUCUCCUAGGGGAAGCAGGGGCAGCCAAGAGAAAGAGCUACCAUAUAAGGGUGAGAGUUGACACUGAACAUCGAAGAGAGUUCUACAGUAUGUAGAAGCAAGACAUGAAUAGUAGCUGACAGAGCCUGGAGUUUUGAAAGUGCUGUUUAUCCAGCGGGCAGCUCAGCGCUACAGAACUGUUUCCUGCUGGAGAGAGAAUCAGAAUAAAAAAAACAACAAAGUAGAACACUUGGGUUCAGAUAAAAACUAUUUACUAAGGCAGAAAAUGAAGAGAAAUUGAAAAUAAUGAUAGUAAUGAUAGUAAUAUAUAUAUGUAUAACACAAAUGAUGCACAGCACAAUUACUCACCACCUACCAAUCAAUGCCCAGACAGCCAACUCCUCAUUGUUUUACAAACUUUUUUUUUUUUUUUUUUUUUUUUUUUUUGUAUGAUGCUAUCUGUUAUGUAAUAUCUCUUUGGCAAGUUCAGAUCUGUCCUGGUUCUGUCUCCUGCCAGCUUUCUGUGCCCCAUCAGCUCCCCUUGCUGGCAGAACAGUACAAGAUACUGAAACAUCCUUGGCUCUAUGUAGCCACUCCUCAGCAACAACUGAAGUAUUGGUCUGCUAUAGAUGUUGUUUCUCUCCCAAAGCCAAAACAUCACAUCAUACCAGGCACAAUAAAUAGAAGAAAAAAGAAAAAGAAAAAAAAAAAUCAACUCUGUCCCAGCUGAAACCAGGACAGAAGGGCAUGGACCUGAUUACUACACAGUGAGAAAAAAUAAAAGCAGAUUUUAUCUAGACCACUAUGUGCCUGGAUAUGUUUAUCUAUGUAUUAGAUAUAAUAAAAUGUAAGCAGAACCCUAUGAAACACCAGCUUAUGCAUAAUGUUUAUUAUUUCAAAUUUGCUUCUGAAAAGUUAACUCGUGUGAGGCAAAACUUAGAGUCAAGGGGUUUGCAAACUACAGGGGUUGUUGCCAGUCUGGAUGCCAGCAACUGAGUCAUGGGUUGUCAGAUCUCAGGCCUCCAAGAAUGGUCCAGUUAGUCCAUCUGAGUGAGAUGUGGGAAACCAAAUGUAAUCAUCUGCUGAGUGAAGACUGUAGACUGACAUCUUCGAAUAUCCCUGGCUUGGAGCUGAUAAAUGGAUGCAUUCCUUCAGCUCCUCUUGUUGGCUAUUCUCAGUUCCAGGUACCUGUCUGGAAGAGAAGAAGAACUACGGUCCCCAAGAGCCUUUUCAAGUACUGUUAUCAUUCCUGCUCAAGGGAACAGAUAUAAGGGCGCAGGUCAUCUGACUCGGCCCUCUUCUCAUCUUGCUGUGUUCCCUGCCGGAUCGGCUCGCUACUGCUGCUCCUGACUGCAUGCAAGGCUUCAGUAUUAGCGUGAGGCCUUUGGCUCUCGGACAAUCUUUCUCUCAAUUAUUGUUGAUUUAUAUUGCAUUAUAGUGUGUUAUCUUACAUUCCGAUACUAUAUUUAGUAAAUUAGUUUGUUU